This 468-nucleotide ribosomal RNA is filed under the name uncultured bacterium. RNAcentral describes it as "partial 16S ribosomal RNA". It matches the Rfam family "Bacterial small subunit ribosomal RNA", at positions 28 to 507 of the family's 1533-position model. The record is from RNAcentral.
GACGAACGCUGGCGGCGUGCUUAACACAUGCAAGUCGAACGGAAAGGCCCUGCUUUUGUGGGGUGCUCGAGUGGCGAACGGGUGAGUAACACGUGCGUAACCUGCCCUUGACUUUGGGAUAACUUCAGGAAACUGGGGCUAAUACCGGAUAGGCGCUCCUGCUGCAUGGUGGGGGUUGGAAAGUUUCGGCGGUUGGGGAUGGACUCGCGGCUUAUCAGCGUGUUGGUGGGGUAUUGGCUUACCAAGGCUUUGACGGGUAGCCGGCCUGAGAGGGUGACCGGGCACAUGGGGACUGAGAGACGGCGCAGACGGCUACGGGAGGCAGCAGUGGGGAAUAUUGCACAAUGGGCGCAAGCCUGAGGCAGCAACGCCGCGUGCGUGAUGACGGCCUUCGGGUUGUAAACAGCUUUCGCCUGUGACGAAGCGUGAGUGACGGUAAUGGGUAAAGAAGCACCGGCUAACUACGUG